GUAGGCUGCAACUCGCCUACAUGAAGUCGGAAUUGCUAGUAAUCGCGGAUCAGCAUGCCGCGGUGAAUACGUUCCCGGGCCUUGUACACACCGCCCGUCACACCAUGGGAGUCGGUAACACCCGAAGCCUGUAGUCUAACCGCAAGGAGGACGCAGUCGAAGGUGGGAUUGAUGACUGGGGUGAAGUCGUAACAAGGUACC
This 201-nucleotide ribosomal RNA is filed under the name uncultured bacterium. RNAcentral describes it as "partial 16S ribosomal RNA". It matches the Rfam family "Bacterial small subunit ribosomal RNA", at positions 1300 to 1500 of the family's 1533-position model. The record is from RNAcentral.